AAUGAAUUUGUUUUAAUUAAAAAUAUUUAUUUAUUUUUGAGAGAGAAAGUGUGAGCAGGGGAGGGGCAGAGAGAGAGGGAGACACAGAAUCCAAAGCAGGCUCAGUUGAAUGUUUUUGAAAAACAGUAUCUAGGGGCAUCUGAGUGGCUCCAUUGAUUAAGUGACCGAAUUGGCUCAGGUCAUGAUAUCACGGUUCAUGGGUUCAAGCCCCACAUCGGGCUCUAGGUUUACAGCUCAGAGCCUGGAGUCUGCUUUUGAUUCUGUGUCUCCCUCUCUUUCUGCCCCUCCCCUGCUUGUGCUCUCCUUCUCUCUCAAAAAUAAAUAAAUACACAUUUUAAAAAAUAAUAAAAAAAUAAAAGCAGUAUCUUUUUCCUUACUGGUUCUGUACUGGUUAUUAUAUAUAUAUAUAUAUAUAUAUAUACACAAUUAUGGAGAUCUAGAAGUUCCAACCUGCUCUGCUGUCUGCAGCUGGAGAAUCAGAAGAGGUGAUGGUGUAUUAGUAUGUUAAAAUGUAUGAGUAUGAAGUCUCAAGAACCAGGAAUGUGACCUCUGAGGGCGGGAGAGAGAGAUGUUCUGUGAGAAGUAAUGAGAUGAUUCAUUUUCAGAAAUACCAAAUAAAAGCUGUGCUGUCUAGUUAACAAUAGGUUUAUAAUCUAUUGGAAAUAUGUACAACUCCUCUACCCCCAAUGGAGUCCCAAACCCUUAGACACUUCACUUCCUGGUUUUCUUCCCCUCUCCAUUUCACAAGGUUUUUUCACAGGCUUUGCAAUAAGCAUGUACCAAAGAACUGAAGUCUCUGCAUCACCUCAAGGAAUGUCCGUCCAUUUGUUCCAGUCAGACUACUUUUUGCCUUACGUGGGCAUAGGCAACUUCUGGGUAAGGUUGUAACUUCUGUAGUGCUCAGCCAAUGAGGAACCAGGGGAAGGACUUGCAUGCUAGGAGAUAAAUUGCGUACUGUAACUUCCCUGAGUGUGCCUGUCCAUCAGACACCCGCUCUUGCAAGAAUGUUGAUUAAAGCAUCUCUUCACUGUGCCCUGAAUCUCCACGUCCUUCCUUUGAUUGGGUCAGUGGGCUUAUUUCUCACAUGUUCCAAUUCAGGCAAAGAGCUUCUUUCUCCUUUUUGUUCCAUCAGGCCCUCACAGAUUGAAUGAUGCCCACCCACAAUGGGGAGGGCAAUCUACUGAGUCCACUGAUUCAAAUGCUAAUCUCUCUCAGAAACACCCUCAUAGACAGAUGCACCCACAAAUGUUUUAGCAGUUAUCUGGGCAUCUUUUAGCCAACUCAAGUUGAUACAUCAAAUGUACCAUCACAAGGAGUAAUAACCAGGGUAUAAAAACCCCAUCAGAGUGAAGGACUCAAGGGAGAAUGCCUGGAUCAACCUCUCUUGCUGAUAUAUGAGACCUAUAGUCCUACUUAGGUGUAGUUUUUGCUGCCUCAGAAUUAACUAUUAUGAAAAUUUAUCUUACAACAUUUUCAUUUUGGUCUGAUAUUCAACAUUUCUGUGAUGAAUUGGUAAGUCCAUGAGGGAACAGGAUGGCUGAAGAAAUGUUGGAGGGAUGGAUCCGCUGAUGAAACCAUAUGCCAAUGACAAAGACAUCUGGUGUCAGCACCUUGUCCUCUGCCAUCUUGGGGGAAUGGUGUUAGCAAGUUUCCAUCAGAGGAAUCUCUUCAAAGAGCUUCCAGGCUAUAAACAGAUUGUUUCCUUUUUCGUGUAAUGCAAGCAGGUGGCCUUCAAUUCAGCUCAAAGGACAUAGAUCAAAUAUGGUUGCUUUUCAUGAAAGUUCCCAUAAAAUUAAAUGAGGUAGUUAAAAUCCUCCUCCAAGAGCUAGAGGUAGUGAUUGCUUUGCUCUUGAAGAAGCUAAAAUAAAAUGGGAAAUGUGGUUGAUAAAUGCACCAUUGCACCAUCCUGGCUGGUAGCUUCAUUAAUAUGAUGUUUGGUCCCAGAAGCCAGUAGUCAACUAAAGCCACUAUGAGAAUCAGCUAAUGGAAAUCUGUGAGGCGAGAAAAGAGGCCACACUGAGAAAGGAAAUAUCUCAGGCUGUGACCAUUGCUGAGACCAUUCCACAGUGUGUGGAAAAGACAAGAAGUCUCAGUGAUACAAGAAUCCUCAGUGCAAUGAAAAGACCACCUGUGGGAUGGGUAGCAUUAAGUCUUUCAGCUCAGUUCAAUGUAGCUUAGGGUAGGAGUAGCUUUUCAUGGCACAAAAUAAAAAUAGGAAAGUAAAAUGCCCCCUCCAAUCCAGAAAAUUUAAGCAAUAUAUAUUUUGCCUUUGUGGCAGUGAUCAAUAUCGUAUAAUAAUCACUCACUUAUUUGUUCUGUGUAAUCCAUCCAUUCCUUUGUUCAUGGUAAAGGAAACAUCAAGAUGACAAACCUCUUUGAUGAAAAGUCAGGCUAAUGAAUAUACACUUAAAAAAACAAAAUUCAACUCUCAAAAUUUGAGAUUUUAUUGACUUUAUUCAAUGAUUCAUGAAUUGGGCAGUAUUUCAUCUAGCAGAUGAAAAGGAGCUCCAAGGCGCUGUAUAAAACGAAAGACAUUUCUAGGCAGAUGUCAGCUGGAACAAGGAGGCAGAAAGCAGAUUGAUUAUGGCAAGGUCACUUUCCUUUAGGAGAUGGCAGAAGUCUGUCAGACAGAUCCCCAACUAGCGCUGAUCAGGUGAUUCCUGAUUGACUGAUUUAAGAUUCUAUUUCUGGGAGAGGCUGAAACUGUAAUUAAGUUAGGUCUUGGCUUGGUGAUUUGGGGCUUUGCAUAAGCAACACACACACACACACACACACAGCUGAGGAAAUUCUGGAAAAAAAAUGGAGAAAGUAGGAGAAUGUAUCCUGAAGGCAUACAGGUUAAACUUAUGUAAAUACAUUAUUAGUGUUGUCAAAAUCUAGAUAAUCUAGUAAAAUCAGAGAAACAAAAGGCAUAACAGAGAAUUGAUGAGCAAGAAACUGUAAAAAUUUAGGAAUGCAUAUCAAAAGGUAUUGGAAUUUGUUUCUCUGGGUAAAUUUGCUCUUCCUUGGCCUCUGACCUUUGUGAAAUCAUGCAGGUGGAGACACCCCAGCAAGGUCAUGACAGAAAAUACAUGAAUGUAGGUGGAUAAAGAACUGGAAUACUGCAUCACAAAUCUGACACAAGUCAUCUGGAGUUAGCAUCAGACUCCCAGAUUAAGGGUACAGUCCCUAACAUGACUGCCCUUAUUUCAGAUGUCAGCCACAAGUUUGAGGGUCCCCACUUGUCCUCUCACCAACUGGAUUUAAAUAUGGAGGGUCCCCUUUCGGGUUAGAUAAUUUGUUAAAAUGACUCAGAGAACUCAGGAAAACGCCAUACUUAGAAUUACAGUUUAUUAUAAAUGAUACUAAUAAAGACCAUAACUGAACUCAAGGGGUUCAGUACUUGAAGUGCAUCAAAUUGAACACAACCCAAGGAAGUGUUGAAAGCAAAGAGCUUUUUAUUAUUUGUUACAGGUAAGGAGACAGCAAGAUAGCUCUCAAAACACUAUGUCCUUGUGGGGUUAGUACAGGAAGCUUCUAUUCAGUGUAUUACGGGGUAGGGGCAAGGACCUUGCAUAUACGUUUUUGGGGAGGAAGAAAUUCUUCUGCUCUUCAUGGUCCUUCUAGCUUGACUAAGAAUCAAAUUGACAUGAGACUGAUUAACAGGAGAAAGUGAAAUUAAAUAGGUGUACCUAUGCGGAUUCCACACAGACAUGGAAAUUCCAAAGACAAUGAGGCAACUUGAAGCUUCUAUGAACUAGAGAGCUGGUAGGGUCUAAGGAUACAAAGGGGCAGAAGGCCAUUAGCAGGAAGAUGAAAAUGAGAUAUUUGAAAAACAAAGUUGCCCUAUUAUGUAGUUGAGUUUCUAAGGUAAAGAGAAAUUUCUGUUAAUAGUUCUCUUUGAUGAAAAAUCAGGCUAAUGAAUAUCAGGCAAGCCAUUAAGGGGAAGGUAAAGAGCUUCUCCUCAAUUGGCUGGAUUUUGAUUGUUUUUAACUCAAUGUUCAUGUCAAAGUGGCCCAUUUUUAGGAGGCAUGUCUCCCACAACAUUAAAGAACUCAUACAUAUUCUAUUAUUUAUGCACUUCAGUUAAAUUGUGCAUGCCUAACACAUCAACCUGCUAGUGCAUGCAUCGUAUGUUCAAAAAAUGGUGGCAAACUACCUAUAGGAGAAGAUCUUAGUUUUAUAAUGAGCUAAAGAUAUCUUCGGGACAACUCAGGGGGGCUUCUGUGCAGGUCCUCAGUAAGAGGCUAUCAGGUGAGACAUACAUAGCAAGGGGCUGUCAGGUGAAAUACCUAACCGGUGUGUCCUUGGCUGAACCUGUUGGUUCUGCAAAAUAAAACACAUUCUUCCAUGCUUUUGCCCCUUACCCCUCUUCCCUUCUGAUAGAUUUUAGCCCUUUGAUUUGAAUAGCUUCUUAUUGCAUCUUGGCUAACAGUACCAGCCAAAUGAAAAAACAUGUAGGGUGAAAUAUAAUUAUAAGGUCAAGUGAAGCCCUUAUACCAGAACAUAUUAAAACUUCAGGAAUUUCAUGUAAUUUCUAGAACUAUAGCACUUACCUGAACAACAUAAGAAAUUUUAUCAUUGUUUGCUUGACAGUGCUUCCCAUGUAAUGUAACAUACCAAAUAGACAAGCCUAAUUAGUCAAAAAGACUUCAUUUAUGAUUAAAAUCUGGGGGAAGUUUCAAAGUACAUUCCUAGAUAGGAUCACAGAUGAUUAUAAAUUUAAUAUUUACAUUUAACCAAGGUGGCAGUGAGGGAUUGUAUAGGAAGUUACAUAGUUGUUAGCAAAACCCAGCUUCUUUAAUACUGACAAGUUUCAUUUCUAUUAAGUAAUCAAAGACCUGAUAAAGACAACACAUAGAAGCUUUAGUUUUCUGGGCAGAUCAAGAAGAAAAAAACUUUGUUUACACUUUCUAAGAGCAGACCAACAAAGAAAACUUUCUCUUUUUAACAGAGAGAAAGGCAGAUUUUUAUCUUUACCAGUGUUCUUUUAUUAUUUUAUUUAUUUUUAAAUGUUUAUUUACUUCUGAGACAGAGAGAGAACAUGAGUGGGGGAGGGGCAGAGAGGGAGACACAGAAUCCAAAGCAGGUUCCAGGCUGUGAGCUGUCAGCACAGAGCCUGAUGCGGGGCUCGAACUCACAAACCGUGAGAUCAUGACCUGAGCCAAAGUCGGUUGCUCAACAGAAUGAGCCACCCAGGCGCCCCACUAGUGUACUUUUAAAAUCCAUCCAUUUCGGUCUUAGUCCUGACCACCAAAAUCUUCUCCAAAGAUUUUCCUUCACAAACCUUCUAAAACUUUCUUUUUCUGUCAACAAAAUGUAUUCUUCUUAUACCUUCCUUACACAUUUCUGACUUCUGUGCAUACAAAGUUGCUUUCCUUAUCAUUUCCAUCAGUCCUAAUUACAUUUAGCAGAAUUUUAACUUAGAAACCUUAGUCUCCAGUGAAAAUUAAGUAGUAACCAAUUGUGAACUAUCUGUCACAUAACAAUUCCUUAGAUUGGCAAAUUUAUAAAUGCUUUUCAUAAUUUCUAAAAACAUAUGUUUUCCCAUAGUACAAUCUUUCAGUAAGGCAUAAAACGUGUUUACCAACAGACUCAAGUAUCCUCAGUUUCUCCAUGAUGGGAGGCCAAAAGCACAAACUUAUUCAUUAACUCAUGCUUUAGUAUUUUAUCUUCUUUGGAAAAGAUUUAGAUAGCCAGUGAGUUCAACCCAACUUAUCAUUUAACUUAGCAAAACUUUAUAAAGUUUCAGGUUACCAAAGAUUUUGAAAGCUACUUAAAAAUUUUACCUAGCGGCACAUGGGUGGCUCAGUCGGUUGAGUGUUGGACUUUGGUUCAGGUCAUGAUCUCGCAGUCUGUGAGUUCAAGCCCUGCAUCGGGCUCUGUGCUGACAGCUCAAAGCCUGGAGCCUACUUCAGAUUCUGUGACUCCCUCUCCCUCUGCCCCUCCCCCACUCAUGCUAUGUCUCUCUCUGUCUCUCUCUCUCUCUGUCAAAAAUAAAUAAACAUUAAAAAAAUGUUUUUUAUACCUACUUGUUCUUAACAAUUACCCAUGAAAACUCUUAUGAGACAGACAAAAUUAACCAUCAUUUUAAGCCUUUUUUGCUGACAAAUUGCAACAGAGAUAACAUGAGCUUAUUUGACCUUUAGUAAACCUUGGUGAAAUAGUUUUAUAUUUAAUGUUGAUAACUCUAUAGACAUGUCUAUCAUAAUUAAACUAACAAACUUACAUUAGCCUUAAUACAGAAUAUGUUGCACCAAUGCCCAGUAAAAGUCAAUCAAUUGUUUCCCCAUGAUUGAUUUUACUUGGGGCACCUGUGGGGAAAUCUAAAGUGGGCAGUUUAAGUCCAGGGGAAUUCUUGGGCCCCUUCAUGCUGAUUUGGGAAGUGCUUCAGCUUGAACCUCAUAAGGAGGUGGCCUAACAGCUUAGAGUGCUCUGCUCCUUGUGAGGGAAGGAGGAACAAGAGCCAAUGGCACUGGAGGAUGGUAUCAGAGCCAGUUGAUUCAAGCCAUGACCAUGGUGGUGCAGAAACAGCAGGAGGGGGAAGUGGGGGCAGAAGAGGUGAGGUGCCACCAUCAGGGCUGGAGGUGGAUAAAAGGCCAGACAGAAGAAAGAGGACUCCAGGUCCUAAAGCUCAUCAACUUGGACAGAUGAACAGAUAGAUGCACGUUUUCUUUCCAUCAACAAAAAGUGAAAACAGGCAGUCCAUGUUGAGAUGGAGAAAACAGGGAAACAAAAGGAGUUUCAGCAGCUGCUUGGAAAUAUUCCUUAAAGUCCCCAUCCUGAGGUAGACUAACCGCAGGCAAUUGGCUCCAAUUAUCAUAGCCAUUAACCUGGAAACGAAUAAGGGAGAAGCCCCCACAUACAACAAGUGUCAGACAACAUUCAUCUAGUCCUCUCAAGAUGUAUUUCAAAUCUGAUACACACAGAAGAAGAAGCAAAAAAGAGGAGAUGAAUUACUCAGGACAAAAAGGGAGGCAUGUACAUGAUCUUGGCAGCAACCUGUUUUUAAGAGAGGCAAAAAGGGGGCACAGAGAGAACAUGACAGAACACAGAUGAUAUAGCGGAUUAACAGAAGCUUCUACUUCUGUAGAAACAGCUGAACUGAUGGUGGAUUUGAGGAGUAGAGGGGGAAGAGAGGGGUGUUCUCAGGCCCCCUAAAGAAGUAUGGACAGAUCAGGAUUUGGGUACAGGGCCAUAACAACCUAACCAUACAGCAUUUUGGUCAGUUUUUCUGGUCAUACUUCUCCAUCCUCUAGUUUAUAUUGAGGCCAACAUAGUUACAAAAGAAGCAGAUUUGGGAAGGAAGCAUAUGAGGUGUUGGGGUCAAACUUUUUCCAGUUUCUCAAGAUACAUCCAACAAGAGUGUUGGAUAGGAUUAAGGGUUUAGAGGAAAGAUAAACAGUGAGUCUCCUGGGCUAGACGCAUCCUUGCUGAACCCCAAGAACAUUGCCUUGGAUAGGCUGGGCCCCUGGGGCAUCUCUUUGGAUCCAUCAAACUAUCAUCCCUGGUGCAGGUGGGCAUCCCCGCCCAACCUGCUUACCUCUUUGGCCUGGCAUGCAUCCUGAAGAGGGAACCCCUGCCAAUCCUUCUUUUCAAUCAACAUGAGUUUCCUUGGGAAAUGGGAGAAAAGUCUCCCCUACACUGAGAUUGCAUUUAAUCUGGUGAACCAAUGGUUUUUGUUUCUUUCUUUUUUAGGCCUUUUCCCCAGUAGAUCAGAAGAAAGAGAGAGAAGAACAAAGGAGAACAGUGACUAAGCAAUUCUCCAGCACAAGAAAGGCAAGAGUUGGAGACUUACUGAUGAAGAGGUCCCUUCAUGGUCACCAAAAAGAUGUUGCCGGAAUGGUGUCUCUUAAAAGUGGACAGCCAGAGUGAAGGAGCCAGAUAAAGAAGAGUACAUCCUUCAUGAUGUCACUUAUAUGAAGGUGUAGAAAAUGCAAAUUAAUCUAUAGUGUUGACUACAUUUCCCAGCCUCCUUUCAAACGGGUGUGGUCACAUGACCAAAUUCUCUCCAGUGGAAGGCUUUUCCCCUUUCUUUGUGGCAUUUACAGACCAGCUACCCUCACUGGAAAUUGAGGCCACCUCACCCAGGGCCACAUGCAGCAGGAUUCCACCAGUGCUGCUGUCACUGCUGUCAUCCCCACCAGGUCAGAGGCUCUGAUCCCAGAGUUGGUACAGGUAGUAUUUUAAGAGUGAGUUCCAAAAAUGUAAGCUGAGUUUCCCUGGUUCUUUCUAGUCUACACAGAUGCACAAAUGGGGCUACCAUAAGGUAGUAAGCCAAAUUUCAGUGUCUCUUCCAAACUCCUAAAAGCCUCCUUCUCUGUCCAAGUACUGCUGGGCUCUUAGGAAAGUCUUACAGAUGCUCAUAAAUCCAGUCAUCCAGGUAUACUUUCAUUUUGCUCCUGCGAGCAUCGCCCCCAAUAAAUAAGUUCUCAAGGUACAAAAUCCCAUACUGGGGUAUGUCUGUACCCAGGGGGAAAGGUCUUUCCCUCUCUUUCAUGUUCCACUUCAUUAGAGGGCUGCCCAAGCAAUGCUUGUGCGCUCCAGGGUCUUACAGAACUUCUGGAACUGCAGAUUCAUAUUGACAUUCAGUCUUCCUUUUGCCUGGGAAGGAGGACUAGAGAUGAUGACAAAUUACAUCCACUUACUCUUUAAUUCAACAAAUAUUUCCUGAAUUCCUUUUCCAUGCUAGCCACGUGGUACAAGAUACAUGUGGUCUCUGUACCCAUGGAGUUUACAGCCUGUUGCAAGAUGAAAACAAAACACACAACAACAAAAGUCACUUAAAAUUUUACAUUCAAGACUUUGUUAUUGGGUCCAGUUCAUUGUGGAUGAUUGCUGCUUCUGCUUGGGUGAGUUUUGUGCAUGAAGCUUGGCAACGCUCAGGCAAAUAGAUGCUGACAGUCUGCCUCACCAUGUGGGGCACAACCCCUCCUUAUCCCAUGGGGCCUUGUGCAGGAGAUUAAUCCUUGCUGUGCUAAAAUUGUCUGAUUUUUUUUCACACUUAGUGACAGUUAAAGAAAAACAUGAACUGUGUUUUCCCAAGAGCUUUCUCCUUACCAUUCCACACCAUGGUUCCUAAACUCUCCAUUUCCUGAAGCAAAACUGGAUAGCAAAGAGAAUGGCCUGGUGGCUCUGAUAAUAACACUGUAAGAGGAGGCCAAGGAUUUGUUAACCCUGGCAGAAGAGGGAGGCAGGCCAGUGCAGACAUGGGGAGGUAGGAAAUUUUGAGAGAAGGUGAAAGGAAGGCUCACAGAGGGGGAAGUGGAAGGUUGAAGAAAGAAGUACGGGAGGAACUGAGGGAGGUCUUCGAGGCACAUUCUCUGUGGGCCUAGGAAACCCCACACAGAGAUAAACCGAAGUUCUGGGCAGCAGGUACAAGGCAGGGAGCACCUAGUGCAUCCCUCUGAGACUCUAUACUGUUUGGAUUUGGGCCUUGAAAACCUUGAGUACCAAUCUUCCUUGGGGUUUUACAUGAGAAUGAAAAGUCUCCCCAGCUACCAAAUAACACAUGAAGGAGAUGUAUUCUUACCUCACUUUCUAUGGAAAUGAAAGGAUCUCAUAGAAAACAUCCAGUGAACAAACAGUAAGACUGAGAGACCCUUUGUCUGCUUCUCAUCCUCUCCCAGGUCUCCCCACUGCACGUCUGUCUCCAUGUAGCCCAGAGAAACUAAACUCAGUUUGGUGGUCAUCCGGGGUUGAAAUCCAGCAUGGAAUAUUAGCUUCCUGUCCAAGAAAAUCCAGAUAUAUAAUUUUUUUACACCAUUAAAAUGUCAGAUUUCCUUUCUUAUUUUCUCCCAUCCAAGUACUAACCAAUCUCAACCCUGUUUAGCUUCUGAGACCAGAAGAGAUUGGGAGUGUUCAGGGUGGUAUGACUGUAGACACCUUUUUUAUUUUCUUAAUUUCUGGUUCUGUGGCUUGGAAUACAGAAACUUUCAGUCCCUCCUUUUGUGAAGUGUCUAUUGAUCAGGAAACAUACCCUAUAAUAACAUUAAGACAAGAUAUUACCUGAUGGGUUCAUGUGAUUAUUUCCUCAAGUGAGAGAUUCUUUCAUAAUUUGAAUAAUUUCAUUCUAUGAGUAGAGUGUUCUGUAAAUGAUGUUAUAAAGUAAGUUCAACGACUUAAAAGGCCCAUCCCAUUAAAGGGAGGAUAGAUCUCGGUAGAGAAAUUUCCUCCUCUGCCUUGUACCUCUAACCCCUCACUACUCCAUACAGGGUUUUUGUGGAACACAUAGGCCACGCCUCACUCCAGGUGGACACCUCGUCAAGACUGGAGGAAUACCUGCAGGCGGUGGAAGCUACACUGAAUGUGGCCCCUGCUGUGGUCAGUGGCAAAUGGACAGGCAACUCCUCCAGUGGAGAAGUUUGAACGCUGUUUUCCAGAGACAUGAUGUAAACUUCAAGCCUCGGCUGAUGAUCAAGUUGUGUAGUGUAGUGUAGUUGUGUAGGUUGUGUAGUUGUCACAAACUAUCUAUAAUGAAGGGAGGGACUCCAGCAGUACAGAGAAGGAGGUGUGCCACUUGUAUCACUAUUGCCCUCGGAUCAGGGGACAGGUCAUUAUGAAGUUCUUGAGUAAUGCAUGAGAUGAAUGCAUUAUAGAUGGGCAUUCUCCUCAGAUGAAUGUAUCAUAGAUGGGAGUAUAGUCUAUGGCAUGAUGCCUAAAAUUAGGCAAUUAGAAGUCUCAGGUUGUCACUUUUUUUCAUUUGUUUGUGUUUUAUUUUUGUUUUUAAUUUCAGAGAGAGAGGGAGAGAGAGAGAGAGAGAGAGAGAGAGAUGGUGGGGGAGAAGGGCAGAGGGAGAGAGAGAGAAUCUCAAGCAGGCUCCACACUGAGCUCAGAGCCAGACACAGGGCUCAAUCCCAUGACCCUGGGAACAGGACCUAAAUCAAAAUCAAGAGUGGGACACUCAACCGACUGAGCCACCCAGGUGCCCCAGGUUGUCACUUUUGGUGCCUUGAAUGGGACAUGGUGGUCUGUCCCAGGAGCAUAGCAGCAGAAUUUAGCACUUGUAUCAGUCUUCUUUGAUUAAGACAUUAUCAGCCCUCUCCCAUCCUGGCCACUGACCCCCUCAACCACCACCACAGUGGAUCCUAGUCAAGCACUAAGUCUGCUCUUUGUACUUAGGUUAGUUCCACCCAAGCAUCAAGAGCUAUGAAGUUCAUUGGGAAGAUCUCCAAGGACAGUUUUUGCUGCCUGCAAUCCAGCAGUCAUGAUAGGUUAUCUAUCCACCUGCCAGCUUUGGUUCCCUGAUAUGCAAAUGAUUUAGAAUUAGAAGCACACAGAAAAUAGCUGUAUUACUGACACCCCUGCCUCUGAUCUCAGUUCCCUUCAUAUCAUUCUUUUUUAAAAAAAAUUUUCACGUUUUUAUUUAUUUUUGAGACAGAGAGAAAGCAUGAGCUGGGGAGAGGCAGACAGAGAGGGAGACAAAAACUGAAGCUGGCUUUGUGCUGACAGCAGAGAGCUCAAUGUGGGGCUCAAACUCAUGAGCAAUGAGAUCAUGACCUGAGCUGUAGUCAGACGACACCCAGGUGCCCCCCUUCAUAUCAUUCUUUAUAACAUUAUGCAAAUCUGAUCAUACCCAGGCUCAAUUA
Long non-coding RNA from Acinonyx jubatus (cheetah), 11567 nucleotides. RefSeq lists it as uncharacterized. NCBI's taxonomy places the organism in Eukaryota, Metazoa, Chordata, Mammalia, Carnivora, Felidae. The record is from RefSeq and is a predicted model, not a curated record. The transcript has 5 exons.